GGUAACCAUUCUGGAAUGGGGCCAAAAUAUAACCUUGCUAAGUUCCAAUGUGAUCUCCUCGUCGGCUUCAUCGUCGCCAUCCUCGCUGUCCCACAAAGGCAUUAGCUACGCUCGCCUCGCCUACCUUCACCCCUUCAUCGGCCUCUAUUCGAGUUUCAUCCCACCGUUAAUCUAUGCGAUAUUUGGUAGCUCCACAAACGUGGCUAUGGGGGGCACCGCCGCCGUCUAGCUGUUUCUUGCUUCGAUCGGCUAUCGGAGCAAAAGUAUCGCCGGUUGACCACCCGGAGUUGGACACGCAUUUGCUCUUCACCGCCGCCUUCUUCACUGGACUCUUUCAAGCGGCGCUCGACAUCUUCAGGCUGAGUGGUGGAGUUCUUCUCACAUUCGAUGAUCACUGGUUUCAUGGGAGGUACAACGGUCAUCUUCAUCAUGCA
Long non-coding RNA from Zingiber officinale, 434 nucleotides. RefSeq lists it as uncharacterized. The record is from RefSeq and is a predicted model, not a curated record. The transcript is spliced from 3 exons. NCBI's taxonomy places the organism in Eukaryota, Viridiplantae, Streptophyta, Magnoliopsida, Zingiberales, Zingiberaceae.